Vigna unguiculata (cowpea) is the source of this 378-nucleotide long non-coding RNA. The record is from RefSeq and is a predicted model, not a curated record. NCBI's taxonomy places the organism in Eukaryota, Viridiplantae, Streptophyta, Magnoliopsida, Fabales, Fabaceae.
CUAGCCACUGCAUAUGUUCAAGCAGAUUAGGGUUUCUGUUGCUGCCACACUCCCUUUCUGAAUGAGAUGUCUCUGCUUUGAUGCUUCUUCAAAACCCUAAUCUCGUCGCCAUUUCUUUCUUCCUGCACCUCCAAACUUUCUAUAUAAUAAUAAUAACAAUAAUAACUGGAUGGGCUUAACAAAGGACUUCUUAUGGUUGGAUGCUUUGAACAUCAGAAGUGAAGUUCUGCUAUUCGGUUAUCUUCGAGCUCUCUGAGAAGACACGGUUUUGGUGUACAUUUCACGGAAUUACUAGUCACAAUAUAUUCUAUAUUAGGGUGUAGAGUUAUGAUUUUCUAUGUAAUGUUAGUCAACGGUUUAUGUAAGAGUUUGAAGCUA